Molecule: small RNA, 693 nt
Filed under: Arabidopsis thaliana (thale cress)
Lineage: Eukaryota; Viridiplantae; Streptophyta; Magnoliopsida; Brassicales; Brassicaceae
Description: ATSL156090
Source: RNAcentral
AUAUUUAUAAUAAUUAAACUAACGAAUGUUACUGUAAAUGAUAACCAAAACAUUAAACAAAUAGUAAUGAAAUUUAAAACGUGUUCACCUAACCUGCGAAUACUCGCAACUCCAUCGGAAAAUUCGCUACAAUAUAAGUUAUCGUCGCAAGUGCGUCGCAAUUUGCAGGGGGUCUCAGUUUCCUCGCAAUUGUCUUUCAAAUUUGCGAGGGAAAUAUUCGUCGCAAAGUUUGCGACGGAAUAGCGAGUUGGUCCUGUUCCCUCGAAGAGAUCUAUUCGCUAGCGAAGAAGAGGUUUGUCGGAGAGAUCUAUUCGUCGGCGAAGAAGAGGUUUGUCGGAUAGAUCUAUUCGUCGGCGAAUUUGAGGUUUGUCGCAGAGAACAAUUCGUCGGCGAAUUUGAGUUUUAUUGGAGAGAACAAUUCGUCGGCGAAAACAAAGAGGUUUGUCAAAAUGAAAGUGAAACCCUAAUUAUUCAGUAGGGGUAAGACCGUUAUUUUCCAUAUUCGAAGGGACAGUUUUAGAAAUGGCCAUCAGGAAAGGGCAUUGUUGCAAAAGGUUAUUACCAAAAUGGCAUUUUUGCAAAUCUCCCUUUUGAUUUUUAUAUCUAUGAUUUCACCUGUAGAAUAUCAUCCCGUAUUAAUAUCGAUCCAAAUCAUUCUGACCAUAUAACCCCGUCCUAUAAAAUUAAACAUUA